AGAGUUUGAUCCUGGCUCAGGACGAACGCUGGCGGUGUGCUUCACACAUGCAAGUCGAGCGAAUGAAAUAGGUAGCUUGCUACUUAUGGAUUUAGCGGCGGACGGGUGAGUAAUAUAUAGGAAUCUGCCUUAGAGCGGGGAACAACAGACCGAAAGGUUUGCUAAUGCCCCAUAGGUAUGCAGUCUUCGGAUUGUAUAUUAAAGGAGUAAUCCACUCUAAGAUGAGCCUGUAUCCGAUUAGCUAGUUGGCGGGGUAAAGGCCCACCAAGGCUACGAUCGGUAGUUGGUCUGAGAGGAUGAUCAGCCACAAUGGGACUGAGACACGGCCCAUACUCCUACGGGAGGCAGCAGUGGGGAAUUUUACACAAUGGGGGAAACCCUGAUGUAGCGACACCGCGUGAACGAAGAAGCCUUUUGGGGUGUAAAGUUCUGUCGGCUGGAACGAAAAAAAUGACGGUACCAGCAAAGGAAGCAUCGGCUAACUACGUGCCAGCAGCCGCGGUAAGACGUAGGAUGCAAGCGUUGUCCGGAUUUAUUGGGCGUAAAGAGUUCGUAGGCGGUUACUUAAGUCUGAUGUUAAAUACUGUGGCCCAACCACAGAACUGCAUUGGAUACUGGAUGACUUGAGUGCGGUAGAGGCAAGUGGAAUUCCCAGUGUAGCGGUGAAAUGCGUAGA
This 676-nucleotide ribosomal RNA is filed under the name uncultured bacterium. RNAcentral's name for it is "bacterial SSU rRNA". It matches the Rfam family "Bacterial small subunit ribosomal RNA", at positions 8 to 694 of the family's 1533-position model. The record is from RNAcentral.